Ictidomys tridecemlineatus (thirteen-lined ground squirrel) is the source of this 1234-nucleotide non-coding RNA. The record is from RefSeq and is a predicted model, not a curated record. Lineage: Eukaryota; Metazoa; Chordata; Mammalia; Rodentia; Sciuridae.
AGGGAAGCCAGGGUUUGUACACAGGUGUGCUUGGCAUCAAAAGUUUGUGCACUUUAUUCUGUGAUACAAUGCCAUCUCUGGAACUCUGAAAGAUGGAAAGAUUGCAGCUUGACUAUAAGGCUUACUUAUAAAAGUUACACCUGCAAAAAUGGGACAAAGUCCAGUGAGGAAGGAUAGAACAUUUUGCCUGAAUGUGCAAAAAAUGAGUGGGGUGUCGUCUGCAUUCCUGCAGGCCUGAGCAGCCUCGUGGUAAAGGAAUCAAGAUGUAGAGACCCAUCUGUGAUCACUCAGCCAGGGAAUGCAACUUCUGGGUCAGGAAUCUCAGUGGAUUCUCCAUUGAGAAUGGGUGCUCACCAAGGAGAUUUUGUGGUUAUGAAGUCUUGGCUUUGCCUUGGAGUGGAUCCUGCAGAGGUCAAUGGAGUGAAGCCAGUUAAGGAUGCAAAGAGGAAUGCGAAGAGGAAUGCGAAGGCGAAUGCUCACCUCCGGGAAGCCCCUUCAUUUCUGGAUCCUGUCAGGCAGAGGUGCUGCUGGAGGUCAUACUCCCUCAGCUGGGCAAAGCAGUGGAGAGCCACUGGCUUCCAGAAUGCUCCCAUAUCCUUGCCUGGGAGAGAAUGUUUUUCCUGUUACUCUGGAAGUAUAACAAUUCUGUGGCCUGUCAGUCUUUCAAUAACAAGAGAGGUGACAUUGAGACUUGAUUGUGCUGGUAUCAUUAUCUCAGGAUAUGUAACACCUUACUAAAAAGACUAUUCAUUGCUCAAAAAUUUUGUAUUUCAUAUAAAAAAAUUCCUCUGAUUGUUCAAUCAGUUCGUAUUGUAGAAACUUGGAACGUCUUUAUGAAAUGCAGUAUUUCUAAAUGAACUUAAAGUGAACCAUUUUGUUCGAAUAAUUGCAAGAGGGGUUUUUAGAAAUCAUAAUAGCUGUUUUAUGCAUUGAUCCUUUAUUUCCUGCCAUGCAAUAUAUCCAGUGCCUUUUAUGUAAUCUUACUUAAUCCUUACAAUGACCUUUUGAGUCAGGAAGCUGUUAUGUUAUUAUUCUUUUAUCAUCAAUGGAGAAGCUAAGGUUCAGAAAGGUGAGGUAAUGUUCAGUUUCACGUGGCUAGAAAGCAUUCCCUGGUUUGUCCAACUACAAAGCCAACAAUCUAAUCACCAACUCCAUCCUCAAGGAAUUAAUCUUAAAUGACAGAUUUUGGAAAAUGAUUUGGUUGUUUCUGAAAUAAAAAUAUUGUAGAAUUUUU